UGCCAGCCGCCGCGGUAAUACGGAGGGUGCAAACGUUGUUCGGAAUUACUGGGCAUAAAGAGCGCGUAGGCGGUCCGCUCAGUCAGGUGUGAAAUCCCCCGGCUCAACCGGGGAACUGCAUCUGAUACUGGCGGGCUCGAGGACGGUAGGGGUGAGCGGAACUCCAGGUGGAGCGGUGAAAUGCGUAGAUAUCUGGAGGAACACCUGUGGCGAAAGCGGCUCACUGGGCCGUCUCUGACGCUGAGGCGCGAAAGCUAGGGUAGCAAACAGGAUUAGAUA
Molecule: ribosomal RNA, 279 nt
Filed under: uncultured bacterium
Lineage: Bacteria
Description: partial 16S ribosomal RNA
Rfam family: Bacterial small subunit ribosomal RNA
Source: RNAcentral